Non-coding RNA from Triticum aestivum (bread wheat), 123 nucleotides. NCBI's taxonomy places the organism in Eukaryota, Viridiplantae, Streptophyta, Magnoliopsida, Poales, Poaceae. The record is from Rfam.
UUUUUACUCCCUCCGUCCGGAAAUUCUUGUCAUCAAAAUGAAUAAAAGAGGAUGUAUCUAGUUGUAGAUGCAUCUCUUUUUAUCCAUUUUGAUGACAAGUAUUUUCGGACGGACAACUAGAUG